This 229-nucleotide ribosomal RNA is filed under the name uncultured bacterium. Its description in RNAcentral is "partial 16S ribosomal RNA". It matches the Rfam family "Bacterial small subunit ribosomal RNA", at positions 109 to 334 of the family's 1533-position model. The record is from RNAcentral.
AGUAACACGUAUGCAAUCCACCUGUAACAGGGGGAUAACCCGGAGAAAUCCGGACUAAUACCCCAUAAUAUGGGCGCUCCGCAUGGAGAGCCCAUUAAAGAGAGCAAUUUUGGUUACAGACGAGCAUGCGCUCCAUUAGCCAGUUGGCGGGGUAACGGCCCACCAAGGCGACGAUCAGUAGCCGGACUGAGAGGUUGACCGGCCACAUUGGGACUGAGACACGGCCCAG